This 370-nucleotide transfer-messenger RNA is filed under the name Candidatus Altimarinota bacterium. It matches the Rfam family "transfer-messenger RNA". Rfam says of the family: Bacterial tmRNA, also known as 10Sa RNA or SsrA, is named for its dual tRNA and mRNA-like properties. Lineage: Bacteria; Candidatus Altimarinota. The record is from RNAcentral. RNAcentral also lists the same sequence under 1 other name.
GGGGAUGUCUCUGGAUUUGAUAAAGGGACUUCAUAAUUAAUGAUAGCCACUCCUCGAUGAUUCUAGAGGUAAAUUACGGAUCGAAAAAAAGUGCAAACAAAACACUUGCUAGAGCUUUCGCUCUCGUUCCUGCAUACGCUGCGUAAGCGCGUUUCUUGAAUGUACCAUCCUGGAUACAGACUCCUUCUAUGUACCAGGUCGACCAAGAAGGAAACCAUUAUGUUGUGAGGACGAAAUGUUCGCCUGUCUAUCGGCUAAAACUCGCCUGUACUCAUAACUCGAAAAAUUAUAGGCCUAUAGAUAACAUAUAGUGGUAGAAAUUAUUAGUUAUGCCUUUUAGACACGGGUUCGAAUCCCGUCAUCUCCAAAU